AGCGGCGCACGGGUGCGGAACACGUGUGCAACCUGCCUUUAUCUGGGGGAUAGCCUUUCGAAAGGAAGAUUAAUACCCCAUAAUAUAUUGAGUGGCAUCACUUGAUAUUGAAAACUCCGGUGGAUAGAGAUGGGCACGCGCAAGAUUAGAUAGUUGGUGAGGUAACGGCUCACCAAGUCAAUGAUCUUUAGGGGGCCUGAGAGGGUGAUCCCCCACACUGGUACUGAGACACGGACCAGACUCCUACGGGAGGCAGCAGUGAGGAAUAUUGGACAAUGGGUGAGAGCCUGAUCCAGCCAUCCCGCGUGAAGGACGACUGCCCUAUGGGUUGUAAACUUCUUUUAUACUGGGAUAAACCUACCCUUCGUGAGGGUAGCUGAAGGUACAGUAUGAAUAAGCACCGGCUAACUCCGUGCCAGCAGCCGCGGUAAUACGGAGGGUGCAAGCGUUAUCCGGAUUUAUUGGGUUUAAAGGGUCCGUAGGCGGACUCGUAAGUCAGUGGUGAAAUCUCAUAGCUUAACUAUGAAACUGCCAUUGAUACUGCGGGUCUUGAGUAAAGUAGAAGUGGCUGGAAUAAGUAGUGUAGCGGUGAAAUGCAUAGAUAUUACUUAGAACACCAAUUGCGAAGGCAGGUCACUAUGUUUUAACUGACGCUGAUGGACGAAAGCGUGGGGAGCGAACAGGAUUAGAUACCCUGGUAGUCCACGCCGUAAACGAUGCUAACUCGUUUUUGGGUUUUCGGAUUCAGAGACUAAGCGAAAGUGAUAAGUUAGCCACCUGGGGAGUACGUUCGCAAGAAUGAAACUCAAAGGAAUUGACGGGGGCCCGCACAAGCGGUGGAUUAUGUGGUUUAAUUCGAUGAUACGCGAGGAACCUUACCAAGGCUUAAAUGGGAAUUGACAGGUUUAGAAAUAGAUCCUUCUUCGGACAAUUUUCAAGGUGCUGCAUGGUUGUCGUCAGCUCGUGCCGUGAGGUGUUAGGUUAAGUCCUGCAACGAGCGCAACCCCUGUCACUAGUUGCCAUCAUUCAGUUGGGGACUCUAGUGAGACUGCCUACGCAAGUAGAGAGGAAGGUGGGGAUGACGUCAAAUCAUCACGGCCCUUACGCCUUGGGCCACACACGUAAUACAAUGGCCGGUACAGAGGGCAGCUACUAUGCGAAUAGAUGCGAAUCUCGAAAGCCGGUCU
Molecule: ribosomal RNA, 1187 nt
Filed under: Chryseobacterium aquaticum
Lineage: Bacteria; Pseudomonadati; Bacteroidota; Flavobacteriia; Flavobacteriales; Weeksellaceae
Description: bacterial SSU rRNA
Rfam family: Bacterial small subunit ribosomal RNA
Source: RNAcentral